Molecule: long non-coding RNA, 459 nt
Filed under: Ursus maritimus (polar bear)
Lineage: Eukaryota; Metazoa; Chordata; Mammalia; Carnivora; Ursidae
Description: lncRNA (ENSUMAG00000013218.1)
Source: RNAcentral
CGCGGAGGGCCGCUUCCCGAGGUGGGCGGUAGCUAGCUGCUAGAAGGCGCUUCCAGCUGAGGAAAUUGAGGACCAAAGAGACUACACACGUCUGCAAAUUGAAUCUCCUUGCACCCAAACCUUCUUUUUUCUAAGGAAUCUCCCAGAUGGUUAGGAAGACUGUCUUGUUUUUCAGGGUCCCCUUCUCUAGAUGCCACAGGAGUGACCCUACAAUGUACACAAAGAGACAGAAAUUCAAUCUGGUGCAGUGACCGUGGGAUACCGACAAAGUCUGAUUGGUCACCCGGUGUGCUUCUGAGCUGUGACAAGCAGCGAUUCAUCAUUUCUAUAGAGCAAAGCUUGAGUCUAGGCGUCACCUCACCCAGCUGGCGUGGUCACGAGUUAGGAAGAUGAACUGCUAAGGAAGAGGCUGCGAGGAAGCCGAUGUUUGGACAAAGGUUAAGGAGGCUGAAAUCUGCA